GUGGGGAAUCUUGCGCAAUGGGCGAAAGCCUGACGCAGCCAUGCCACGUGAAUGAUGAAGGUCUUAGGAUUGUAAAAUUCUUUCACCGGGGACGAUAAUGACGGUACCCGGAGAAGAAGCCCCGGCUAACUUCGUGCCAGCAGCCGCGGUAAUACGAAGGGGGCUAGCGUUGCUCGGAAUUACUGGGCGUAAAGGGCGCGUAGGCGGACAGUUUAGUCAGAGGUGAAAGCCCAGGGCUCAACCUUGGAAUUGCCUUUGAUACUGGCUGUCUUGAGUACGGGAGAGGUGAGUGGAACUCCGAGUGUAGAGGUGAAAUUCGUAGAUAUUCGGAAGAACACCAGUGGCGAAGGCGACUCACUGGCCCGUUACUGACGCUGAGGCGCGAAAGCGUGGGGAGCAAACAGGAUUAGAUACCCGGGUAGUCC
Molecule: ribosomal RNA, 425 nt
Filed under: uncultured bacterium
Lineage: Bacteria
Description: partial 16S ribosomal RNA
Rfam family: Bacterial small subunit ribosomal RNA
Source: RNAcentral